CUGCAGCGUCGCCAACAGAGGCAACUGUUUUUUCUGUGCACAUCACUCCUUGGUAAUAAAUGUCAGCAUAAACUUUGCCUCCGAAAGGCUUGAAAACCACAGCUCGCUCAUGCGUAAUCACAAGCCUUGCUUGCAUUUUCAAAGAAGACGUCGCAAAAAUUAACCCGAAACGUUCGUCCUCGAAGCGGCACCAGCUCGUCGAAGGAGCGAGUCCACGGAGCGCCUGAAACGAGAAAGGCGAGGAUUCUGUAGCAGCCAGCUCUCCCGGCUCUUGAUGUUCGUUGUGAGCGCUGUUCACGUCCUGACACGGCUUCUUGCUUCGUGGUGGAAUUGUUUGACAAGCAGAUCUUUUCCUUUCAGUCCUCUGUUUAGGGGUUUUAACAGGGAGGUAGGCUGGACACCCAGGCAGCAGCGUCGGAAUGGCACCGGGAGCUAACGACGGCUUGCCUCUGGGUAUACGCACUUCAACGCCGUCGAUUACGUGAACGUAGUCGCGCAAUAUGAGGUGGGCUUCAAAAUGGUGCUCACACACUGCUGAUAGUUCCGUGAGGCUCUUGUCGUCCCUUCGCAUGUUCCGCUCCCACUUCCCUCGCAACUCGUCGUCUCUUGGUGCGGCAAACAACGAUGCUUUAGGCGCGCCCGGGUAGCCGGUGCGGCAGCCUGGCGCAGAACAGUGGGAAUCAGUUCUUCUUUUCGCCAUAACUUCGUUAAAUUCCCUGACACUGAUGCUACAUAGUUCCUGCUCACUGCUAUCCCUACUUAACAGCAAGAUACGAACGCCAAAGUAAAAUUAACUGCGUGACAGCGCGCGCGCGAAGCGAGCUAAAUCACACACCGCAUUGCCAUGUGCUGCCAACGCGCGCGCCGGAGGCUAGGAAAAGGCGCAGCAGCGCCCCUGGCGGCCGUCAGUGUCAACUCGCUUCAGCCGAGCUGGCCCCAGCAGCCACCGGUCGCGCCACUAGAAAGUAUUCUAGUUCACUAUACUGAGAACCAAGAUAAUUUGCGCCGGCAUUUGUCCGCUGCUCUUUUUUUCCUAGUGUUUCAUUGGUGACUGACGUUGCGGUUGAUAAUCGCGGUUAUGAUGGGUGAUUUUGUCCUUGUGCGUAUGGUGACAGAGCCUGAAUGACUUCUGAGGCCACAGAUGGAACGGCCGAUGGGCAGCUUUGUUUACCUUCAAGACCGAGUGGUGCUGUGAGUUUGCUGAAAGCAACAACAGGACAGAAAAUAUGGGAUGUGAGCCUUGGAAGGACCAGCUGAUGAAAAAAUCAACGCCUGUGCUGCACAGUAAGGCUUCUGGCAGACCUGAAAGCAUAGAUAGAUAUGGUGCCUGCCUGUUGGAAUUGCACCAGCUCGCUUCCCUGAAAGAAGCUAGGUGCUGAAGAAGUACUUGACUAGCCUAUCCGCAUUGUCAUUGUGACAGUCUGCAUCACCAUUUGGCCUAUUUUGGGAUCCCACAAGACACGCUGCUACCCUGGUUGUUGUACCUCGGUCAAUUGCUGAAGUUCUGCAAGCCCCAUUGAAGCCAACUGUCAUCCGCAUCCAAUGGAAGAAACUCAUUGUUCGGGCCGUCAUAAUUUAUCUUAAGCUGAAGCUAGACGCAGGGUAGAAACAGCAUAUAUUCUACAAGAAUUUACCACUGCAUGCCGUCGAGUGGCUACACCCGACAGACUACUGUCUUGAACAGAGAUGGUGUUUUAUUCUAGAAUAUAUUUGUCAGCA
Molecule: non-coding RNA, 1719 nt
Organism: Dermacentor albipictus
Lineage: Eukaryota; Metazoa; Arthropoda; Arachnida; Ixodida; Ixodidae
Source: RefSeq, a predicted model, not a curated record